Molecule: ribosomal RNA, 610 nt
Filed under: uncultured bacterium
Lineage: Bacteria
Description: bacterial SSU rRNA
Rfam family: Bacterial small subunit ribosomal RNA
Source: RNAcentral
GGGAGUAUGGUCGCAAGGCUGAAACUCAAAUGAAUUGACNGGGGGCUCACACAAGCGGUGGAGGAUGUGGCUUAAUUCGAGGAUACGCGAAGAACCUUAUCCUGGUCUUGACAUGCUUAGGAACGUCUGUGAAAGCAGAAAGUGCCCUUCGGGGAGCCUUUGCACAGGUGCUGCAUGGCUGUCGUCAGCUCGUGUCGUGAGAUGUCGGGUUAAGUCCCUUAACGAGCGAAACCCUUGUCUUUAGUUGCCAGCGAGUAAUGUCGGGGACUCUAGAGAGACUGCCGGUGUUAAACCGGAGGAAGGUGGGGAUGACGUCAAGUCCUCAUGGCCUUUAUGACCAGGGCUGCACACGUCCUACAAUGCGGCAUACAAAGAGACGCGAACUCGUGAGAGUAAGCAAAUCCCAGAAAGUGUCGCUAAGUUCGGAUUGCAGGCUGCAACUCGCCUGCAUGAAGCCGGAAUCGCUAGUAAUCGUGGGUCAGCAUACCACGGUGAAUAUAUUCCUGAGCCUUGUACACACCGCUCGUCAAGCCACGAAAGUGGGGUGCGCCCGAAGCCGCCAAGCUAACUUCGGAGGCAAGCGUCGAAGGUGAACUCCGCGAUUGGGACU